Molecule: ribosomal RNA, 292 nt
Filed under: uncultured bacterium
Lineage: Bacteria
Description: partial 16S ribosomal RNA
Rfam family: Bacterial small subunit ribosomal RNA
Source: RNAcentral
GUGCCAGCAGCCGCGGUAAUACAGAGGGUGCGAGCGUUGUCCGGAAUCACUGGGCGUAAAGGGCGCGUAGGUGGCCUGAUAAGUACGGGGUGAAACCCUGCAGCUUAACUGCAGGACGGCCUCGUAGACUGUCCGGCUUGAGCAUGGUAGAGGCUGGUGGAAUUCCCGGUGUAGCGGUGGAAUGCGUAGAGAUCGGGAAGAACAUCGGUGGCGAAGGCGGCCAGCUGGGCCAUUGCUGACACUGAGGCGCGACAGCGUGGGGAGCAAACAGGAUUAGAUACCCCGGUAGUCC